UUAAUAUCACCACCGGGUGAUAAGAGGUACUUAGUAAACUCAUUAGGUCUUUGAAGAGUUUAUUGAGUACCUUUUUUUGUA
Molecule: non-coding RNA, 81 nt
Filed under: unclassified sequences
Source: RNAcentral